This 289-nucleotide ribosomal RNA is filed under the name uncultured bacterium. RNAcentral describes it as "partial 16S ribosomal RNA". It matches the Rfam family "Bacterial small subunit ribosomal RNA", at positions 773 to 1060 of the family's 1533-position model. The record is from RNAcentral.
GUGGAUUAGAUACCCUAGUAGUCCUAGCCGUAAACGAUGGGUACUAGGUGUAGAGGGUAUCGACCCCUUCUGUGCCGGAGUUAACGCAAUAAGUACCCCGCCUGGGGAGUACGGCCGCAAGGUUGAAACUCAAAGGAAUUGACGGGGGCCCGCACAAGCGGUGGAGUAUGUGGUUUAAUUCGACGCAACGCGAAGAACCUUACCAGGGCUUGACAUUGAGUGAAAAGCUAAGAGAUUAGUUCCUCUCUUCGGAGACACAAAAACAGGUGGUGCAUGGCCGUCGCCAGCU